CCGGUUUUCGGUCUAGAAAUUUCAGGUUUAAAUAUGGAGGAGUGCAUUUCAUAUCAGGAACGAAUUUAGGAUUAAAAAUAGCACGUGACCAAAUUUGAAAUAUUAUUAAGUCGAAAUAAAUAAAAGCUAAAAUUUAACUAGAUUGUGUGUCCGCGACUCCGCUGCGGGACUGGAGCUAAACGGAGCAACCCCUUGAAUAAAUUUUACCGUGGAGGCCCAUAUGGGGCAUUACCCAGCCAGCCCAAUUAGCCCCAUUCUCUGUUGGGGCUGACAUGUAUCUCACUUUGACCGCCUCUUCUCUUUCAGCUCGCCCUUCUCCAUUUUUAUAGCGGCAAUCAUAUAUUCAUAUUCCCACACCAUGCUCUGAUUGAUCACUCUCUGCUGACCAUGCCCUCCCUCUCUCCUUUUGACAACCCACUCUUACUUCUGCUCGCUCAGUCAUGAUCUCCAUCUCCUGACUCAACUGCUCAUCCGGAAAAACUGCAACAGCCAUACUUCAGCAUGGCUCAUCAAUCUUACGAUCUGACCUUGAAACCAAUAAAAAGAAUGUCAAGGAAGCAUAUAUACAAAUUGACAUGACUCUUUUGGUUUUGCGAUCUGCAAUCAACGUAAAGGAGCGGUCACAAAAGAGAAGCAGCUUACCUAUACUAGAGUAAGACGGAUGCGCCGUGAACAGAGGCACGGUGGCUGGAGCCGAGAGCAAAACAGGGCAUAGAUGACUUGCUGAGAGAGUUCAGUGAACAACGAUGACUCCCGUAGCUGCCACGCGCUAGAUAGACGGAUCAAAUAAAUGCUUUUGUCGGCGGGACCACUCCAUUCACGGCCCUCCUCCCAACCUUACUGGAGAAGCUCCGCUGCAACGCCAUCGUCAAUGGAGGUAUAAAUUUUUUAUGAAGAGAUGCUAAAUGAAUAAAUUUUAUGUUCUUUUAUUCUGUAGUCGUUACCUUACCGUGAACCAUCGCUCACGGUAGGUUUAAUCGCCACUGAAGUAUAUAUUUCAAAGAUAAGGGUUAUAUGUAAAUAUAUCGAAAUGUAAGUGAUGUGGUAAUUUUAAAUAUUAAAUUGGUAUAUUGAAGAGACCAGUUGCUUUGCUUCAACUUUGAUAUGAUAAUACUCCCAGAAAUUCACACCACAUAACCAAAGUCAUUAUUUAGAUAGAUAUAGUGAAGUGGUAGAUACAAUACACCGACAAAGAUUGGUUUAAGAGGGAAUCAACGUACACAAUCAGUAAUUAGCUAGGGAACCAAAACAAGAAAACGUUGCCUCACGAUGGCAAACUCUUCUUUAUUUCACACUCCGAUCUUCACCUAC
Molecule: long non-coding RNA, 1311 nt
Filed under: Linum usitatissimum (flax)
Lineage: Eukaryota; Viridiplantae; Streptophyta; Magnoliopsida; Malpighiales; Linaceae
Description: long non-coding RNA (LUSI_LNC002353)
Source: RNAcentral